Molecule: long non-coding RNA, 227 nt
Filed under: Hordeum vulgare
Lineage: Eukaryota; Viridiplantae; Streptophyta; Magnoliopsida; Poales; Poaceae
Description: long non-coding RNA (HVUL_LNC014157)
Source: RNAcentral
AGUCACGGCAAUGCCGUCGCCGGCUGCAUUCGCCGUCGUCGGCCCUGAAGUCUGCGCCGAUGUAAGGGCUGUAGGCUCCUCCGUCUGCCUAGCAGCCCGAUGCCUUGGCCCUUUAAUGUCGUCGCCGGCCUUCCGCUUGCCCGUCAUCUCGCCUCGGUCGAACAACUUCGGACGAACGAGCCGGAUGACCCUGAUAGGGAGAGGGAGGAAGGAAGGAAGCUACGAUC